This 250-nucleotide ribosomal RNA is filed under the name uncultured Pseudomonadota bacterium. RNAcentral describes it as "uncultured proteobacterium partial 16S ribosomal RNA". It matches the Rfam family "Bacterial small subunit ribosomal RNA", at positions 524 to 773 of the family's 1533-position model. The record is from RNAcentral. Lineage: Bacteria; Pseudomonadati; Pseudomonadota.
UACGGAGGGUGCAAGCGUUGUUCGGAAUUAUUGGGCGUAAAGCGCGUGUAGGCGGCUAUUUAAGUCUGAUGUGAAAGCCCGGGGCUCAACCUCGGAAGUGCAUUGGAAACUACAUUGCUAGAGUACCAGAGAGGUAAGCGGAAUUUCCUGUGUAGCGGUGAAAUGCGUAGAUAUUAGGAGGAACACCAGUGGCGAAGGCGGCUUUCUGGACUGUAACUGACGCUGAGGUGCGAAAGCCAGGGGAGCAAAC